GUACAUUUUGAGGUCAUACAAAGGGACAGUUCUGUGAACUGUUCAACAAUUCUUGCACUGCUUCUUUUAAGUGAACAAUAGCUCUGAUCCUUAAGCUACAUCCAAUUGUUUUGUUAGUGCCAAGGAAGCUUCUCUGGGUUUCCAUGAAGAAAAAUGCCAGCAGUGUCAUAAAGCAGCUCAGAUGUGCCUAACGCGUACUGACAGAACAAAGAAGCUUUAAACUCUGCAUGAUAAUGAAAAUGUGUUGUAUUUAAAUAAAAUCUCUCUAUGAUG
Meleagris gallopavo (turkey) is the source of this 273-nucleotide non-coding RNA. NCBI's taxonomy places the organism in Eukaryota, Metazoa, Chordata, Aves, Galliformes, Phasianidae. The record is from RefSeq and is a predicted model, not a curated record.